This 423-nucleotide ribosomal RNA is filed under the name uncultured archaeon. RNAcentral describes it as "partial 16S ribosomal RNA". It matches the Rfam family "Archaeal small subunit ribosomal RNA", at positions 322 to 746 of the family's 1478-position model. The record is from RNAcentral.
CCUACGGGAGGCACCAGGCGAGAAAACUUUGCAAUGUGCGAAAGCACGACAAGGUUAAUCCGAGUGGUUUCUGCUAAAGAAACCUUUUGUUAGCCCUAGAAACACUGAUGAAUAAGGGGUGGGCAAGUUCUGGUGUCAGCCGCCGCGGUAAAACCAGCACCUCAAGUGGUCAGGAUGAUUAUUGGGCCUAAAGCAUCCGUAGCCGGCUAUGUAAGUUUUCGGUUAAAUCUGUGCGCUUAACGUACAGGCUGCCGGGAAUACUGCAUAGCUAGGAAGUGGGAGAGGUAGACGGUACUCGGUAGGAAGGGGUAAAAUCCUUUGAUCUAUUGAUGACCACCUGUGGCGAAGGCGGUCUACCAGAACACGUUCGACGGUGAGGGAUGAAAGCUGGGGGAGCAAACCGGAUUAGAUACCCCAGUAGUC